CUGUUCAAGGUUUUAGAGUAUUACAUCCUAUUUUUGUUUGAAGCCUUUUGUUUUAAGGUGUCUAAGAUGUAGUGGUUUUCUUUCUUUUCCAGGGGUUGUCGGCUUGAUUGCUUAGGCAAGCUACAUACACAACAAUACGACUUGGGUCAUUUAGCAUAUCUCCAACCUCGUCGGUAACAAAACCUUGGUGUUGGCAGUUCCAGCUUUCAAUGUCAUCAAUGGAGGUUCUCAUGCAGGAAACAAACUUGCAAUGCAGGUCUCUCUGUCAAUUCCAUCCAUUUUCUUGAAACGGCUUUCAUCUCAAUUGCAUUCUAAUCAAUUUGUUGUUUAUAGGAGUUCAUGAUCCUUCUCGUAGGAGCUUUCUCUUUUAUUCCACUAUCCUAUUUUCAUUUAUAAAUAAGUUGAAAUAUUUUUCGUUUGUCUUUAAGAGAGACACAAAAGCCAUAAAAACUUGCAUCUUUUUUCCUUACAGGUUAUUGGAAUGGAUGUUACUGCUUCUGAAUUUUAAGGCACUGAUAAAACCUAAGAUCUGAACUUCAAAAAAGAGAAAAAUGAUGGGUUGCAGAAGAUAUCAGGAAAUGCUUUAAAAGAUCUCUACAAAUCAUUUGUGGCUGAGUAUCCAAUUGUAUCAAUAGAAAACCCAUUUGAUC
This is a long non-coding RNA of Magnolia sinica, 650 nucleotides long. RefSeq lists it as uncharacterized. Lineage: Eukaryota; Viridiplantae; Streptophyta; Magnoliopsida; Magnoliales; Magnoliaceae. The record is from RefSeq and is a predicted model, not a curated record. The transcript is spliced from 3 exons.